UAUGCCUCUCCUAACCCUACUUUAUUUUUCGGUCGAAAUCCUUCGUUUUCCUCUCAUUUUCCAUUCUAUUUUCCUCUCAUUAUCUUCCCAUUUUUCUCUGAUUAUCUCCCUUUUACCGAUCUCUUCUCCCUUCCUCUUCAAAUUCAUUUACAUCUCCUUUAUCUCCUUUUCGAAGGAUAUGUCCGUGUUGUUCGUGUUCCAUUUUUUGCCCUACUCUUCCCAAAACGGUAAUUAUCCUCUCUCUAUUUUGCGUUUCGUUGAUCGGUUGCCAUGGACGUGCAUGACCUCUAAAACGUUUCUCAUCCUCUCUCCAUAUUUCCAUACCCUUCGUCUGCCGAAGAAUCCUUGCUGCUCCCUACUCUUGCCGGUCCUAGAACGAGUUUACUGCACUUUUUUAUACUGAACAACCAUUUUGUCAUACAUGCUACACUAAAUAUAUCGGUGAAAGGAAGUCGAGUAGGGGCAUGGCGGAGCAUGACAGGGGUUCUCGGUCUACACCAAAGCAUGGCAAGUUCAUCGAGACUACCUAAGCACAAUUGGACUAAAGAGGAAGAGGUAGGCCUCGUCGAGUGCCUCGUGGAGUUAGUCAAUGCUGGUGGGUAGAGGUCUGACAACGGGAUGUUUCGCCUCGGGUACCUAAAUCAGCUGGUGAGAAUGAUGGCCUUCAAGAUCCCAAGGUCUAACGUCCAUGCUUCAAUGAUCGAUAGCCGAAUAAAAUUUUUAAAGAGAAUGUUCCAUGCACUUGCGGAGAUGCGUGGUCUUACCUGCAGUGGUUUUGGGUGGAAUGAUGAACAAAAGUGCAUCAUUGCAGAAAAAGAAGUCUUCGACGAUUGGAUGAAGAGUCAUCCGACGGCCAAGGAUCUCUUUAAUAAGUCGUUUCCCCACUAUGACGAACUGUCGUACGUGUUUGGCAAAGAUCGUGCGAUGGGAGAUCGGGCUGAGACUUUUACGGACUUUUGGGUCAAACGAUCCUGCUGGGUACGAGGCAUUUGUCGCUAACGUUGCGUCGGAUAUGGACUCCCAGCCAAUGUACAAUCAGUGAUUGAACAUGUCGCUUCAUGAAUGAAUGGGAACAAGAACCACUCGGGUAAAUGAAGGUAGGUAUGUUUCGAAUGGGUCUAAGCGAAAACGUGGAGGAUAGGCCGCAGACAGUGGGGAGGUAAUUUGCACUGCAAUUGAGUACGAAAAUGACAACUUAAUCGUAUUGUUGAAUGGCCUGUCCUACAAUGUCAAGACGCAAGCCAAACACGUUAAGAGGUUGUCCGACAAUUGGAGGACAUCUCUGAGUUGACAUUGAUGGAUAGGUGUCGCUUAAUGCAUAUACUUAUGCGUAACGUCGACGACAUGAAAGCUUUCCUUGACUUUCCCGACAAUAUGAAGUACCUGUGCUACAACAUCAUUCUUCAAGAAAACUGAUGACCAGUUUGUUUAUUGUAUUUGUAUUAGCGGCUUUUCUGAGUUUGACUAUAUGUUCUUCUUCUUACUUGUUUUGUCUUAUUAUCUCACGAACUUCUCUUUCUGUUCAAGCUUUAUAAUUUGUAUUUUCAUUUCGCUUUCCUAUGUAAUGGUAUCAUAUUGUUAUACUAUCAUAUUAAUGUACUGUUUUCGUUGAAGUUUUUUUUUACAA
Long non-coding RNA from Cucumis melo (muskmelon), 1627 nucleotides. RefSeq lists it as uncharacterized. NCBI's taxonomy places the organism in Eukaryota, Viridiplantae, Streptophyta, Magnoliopsida, Cucurbitales, Cucurbitaceae. The record is from RefSeq and is a predicted model, not a curated record. The transcript is spliced from 3 exons.